RNAcentral lists this ribosomal RNA (398 nucleotides) under uncultured bacterium. RNAcentral's name for it is "bacterial SSU rRNA". It matches the Rfam family "Bacterial small subunit ribosomal RNA", at positions 32 to 423 of the family's 1533-position model. The record is from RNAcentral.
AAUCAACGCUGGCGGCGUGCCUCAGACAUGCAAGUCGAACGAUUAAACUUUCCUUCGGGAAAGAUAUAAAGUGGCGCACGGGUGAGUAACACGUAGGUAAUGUACCUUUGGGUGGGGAAUAACUUAGGGAAACUUAAGCUAAUACCGCAUAAUGCAGCGGCUCCUUCGGGAGACAGUUGUUAAAGAUUUAUCGCCUAAAGAGCAGCCUGCGGCAGAUUAGCUAGUUGGUAAGGUAACGGCUACCAAGGCUACGAUCUGUAUCCGACCUGAGAGGGUGGUCGGACACACUGACACUGAAUAACGGGUCAGACUCCUACGGGAGGCAGCAGUCGGGAAUUUUGGGCAAUGGGCGAAAGCCUGACCCAGCAACGCCGCGUGAAGGAUGAAGUCUUUCGGGA